AUGGCGAUGGAGGCGGCGAUAAUCGGCGCGUUGCUGAAGACCGCGCUGCCGAAGGCCGUCUCGGUGCUGGGCGGGAGCAGGGAUGUCGAAUCCAUCCAGUUGGAGCUCAGUUACAUCGAGGCCACCAUCCGAGACCACCGCAAGAAGACCGGCGGCAAGGACACGAGCCACCUGCGGGAGGCCUGGAUCCACGACCUGACGCGCUUCGCGUUCGACAUCGAGGACUGCGUCGACCGCUUCCUGCAGCAGGUGUCGGAGGACGGCGAGGCGGGCUUCCUCCGCCGCUCCGUUCGCUCCGCCAAGAACACCGUGUACACCCGCACGGUGUUCUCCCCCAAGAUCCGCAAGCUCAAGACCAGAUCCGAGGAGAUACACCGCCGGCUCAAGCGCUACAUCGAGGAGGAGACGACGGGGGUGACAGUGACACCCGACGGCGCGGCGUCGAUCCCCACCGCAGGGGCGCACGCAUGGUCCGGUGCUCCGGCGGCGGCGGUGGGGAUGGACGAGCCUCUAGGGGAGCUUCUUGAGCUCGUGCGGGAGCCUGGGGGCCCGUCAGAGGGGAAGCUCAGGGUGAUAUCUGUCGUUGGCUUCCAUGGCCUCGGCAAGACUCUUCUUGCCCGCCAAGUGUUCGAUCACGGCGAUGUGCGCGAACAGUUCCCUCUGCGAGUUUGGGUUUGCGCGGCGGGCAAGGGCAAGCCGGCGGUUCUCAAGGAGAUGCUCGAUAAAGUGCUCCAGAAUGGUGCCGGUACCUCCACCGACAGCGCCCGGCAAGCUGACUCUGCUCCUGCCGGCACACGCGAGGCGACGACUACCUCCAACGCCAACAGCCUCGUCUCACAGGUUGAGGAGAAUGGUGUUGAGCAAGUCCAGACUGGUGAGAGGACUGCAGCCGGUGGCGUCCAUGGCGUCGGACCCGUCGGUACAUGGCGCCAGUGCAUCCAAGCAGUUUGGUGGGCUCUGGCGACAAUACUGCUGUACAUCUUGUCCCCGGCAUUCACCGUGGCAAACAUGGUGCGAGCCUCUUCUCUCCAAGUUGAGUCUGCAGACAUACGUAGUGCUACUGUGAAUGCAAGUAUCUCCACCAGCACCGUCACACUAGUUGAUGAGAACAAGAGUGUCCAGAUGAAGAGGCAAGCUGGUAGGGGCAAGGCUAUUCAGGAGGACACUCACAAGGACGGUGUAGAUGAUACGGCGAUCAUUGAACACCGUCUACGAUCAUACCUGAAGAAUCAAAGGUAUCUGAUUGUAAUUGAUGGCAUGCAAACAGAAGAGUUGUGCAACAUAACAUCUGUAUUCCCUGUGGAUAACGCAGUGGACAGCAGAGUUAUUGUGACGACAACCAUUAAGAAAAUAGCAAGACGCUGCAGCUCUGCCAAUGGUCGUGUGUACAAAAUGAAAACACUUGAUGACAAUGAUUCAAGAAAGCUGUUCUUCGAAGUAUUUUCCAAGGGUAAAUGUUCAGAUGCAGAUGCAACGGAAUUGAAAGCAUCUGCCCUCCUGGAAAAAUGUGGUGGCCUACCGCUUGCCCUUGAAAGCAAAGCAAAGUUUCUGAAGAGUGAAGAAGACCUGACCAAGAGUAAAUGUGAAGAUGCCUGCCGCAAGCUUUGUGCUCCAGAAGGGUGUGACGACACACUGGGAAGAAUGCAUGGGGUUCUUGCCAGCAGCUAUGAGAGUCUAUGUAGCCUUGUUCUCCAGCAGUGCUUGCUAUAUUUCUGUAUGUUCCCGCGUGGCCACCGUGUCAGGAGGAAUCCUCUAAUCAGGCGGUGGCUGGCUGAAGGACUUGUACAUGUACAACCAGGGGAUGCAGUGAGCACCACACCCCAAGACAUCGCAAUUGAGAACUUGGAGACCCUGAUCGACCGCAGUAUCAUUCAGUCCACAGAAGUGAGCACCUGUGGGAGUGUGAAGAAUUGCCAACCUCCUGGGAUGAUGCUCGAGUACAUCGUCCGCAAGUCCAUGUCUCAGAAUUUCAUCACCUUGCUUUGUGGUGAGAGUGAGACGGCCAAAGAAUGGGACUACGUUCGCCGGCUUUCGCUCCAUGAUUACUGUGCUGCAAAACUGCCCAAGGGCUUAUCUCGUCUCCGGACCUUGGCAAUAUUCCCUGCCGGGGAUGCUGCCAAAAAUGAACCUAUACUGGAUUUUGCGAAGUAUGACCUACUGCGAGUGUUGGAUUUAGAAGAAUGUGAUGGUCUAAAUGACGGGCACCUCCAGAACAUAUGCAACCUGGUGCUUCUGAAAUAUUUGAGCCUUGGGGGCCUCAUUAGUGAGGUCCCAAAGAAAAUUGCCAGGCUGCAACAGUUAGAGACACUGGACCUGAGGAGAACCAAGAUAGAGAAGGUGCCCGUGGAAGUCAUCCAGCUCCCCCAGUUAAAACAUCUCCAUGGAAAAUUUCAGCUUAUUGAAGGUGACUACGGAAAGGCAAAUCCAGAGCACUUGUCUAAGAGAAGUACCCUGGAGACACUUUCAGGAUUUGUCACAGGAGAAAGCGAAGGAUUUCCACAGGUGAUGCGGCACAUGAAGCGGUUGAGAAAGGUAAAAAUAUGGUGCAAAUCCACCACAAGCAGAAGGAACCUGAACCAUCUUGAAGAGGCCAUCAAGGUGUUCAUCCGUGAUGGGAACGAAUGGCCUCAUCGCUCCUUAUCCAUUGACUUCCAAGAAUGCCCGGACCCAUUCCUGGGUUCUCUGAAAGCCCCCGGAAGUCUUGCCUCGCUGAAGCUGCGGGGCAAUCUCGGGCGAUUCCCUCAGUUCGUUAUGAAUCUGAACAGAAUCGAGGAGCUGUGUCUGUCAUCGACUAGCCUAAGCCGGGGUGUUCUUCUAUCUGGUGGUCGUUUGGACACACUGAAGUAUCUGAAGCUCAUUGAAGAGAACAUUGGGCCUCUCGAAAUACAACAUGAGCACUUCCCAAGCCUCCGGCGUAUAUGGCUCGUCGGCGCACAAAGCCUGCAUGACGUAACAACUGGAGCUCUGCCGCAUCUUACCUCACUUCAUGUGAUCUGCGAAUCUUUAGAUGGUCUUGCCGGCAUCGAAAUCAGACGCCUAGAAGGAUUAAAGGAAGUCAGGCUCCAUUCUGGGGUCGAUCAAGGAACGAAAGAUGCAUGGAAGGAAGCUGCAAGGGGACAUCCUAAGAGGCCCGACGUUCUGCUUCACUGA
Molecule: ribosomal RNA, 3150 nt
Filed under: Triticum aestivum (bread wheat)
Lineage: Eukaryota; Viridiplantae; Streptophyta; Magnoliopsida; Poales; Poaceae
Description: partial small subunit ribosomal RNA
Source: RNAcentral